AACGAACGCUGGCGGCAGGCCUAACACAUGCAAGUCGAACGCUCGUAGCAAUACGGGAGUGGCAGACGGGUGGGUAACACGUGGGAACCUUCCCUAUGGUUCGGAAUAGCUCAGGGAAACUUGGGGUAAUACCGGAUAAGCCCUUCGGGGGAAAGAUUUAUCGCCAUUGGAUGGGCCCGCGUCGGAUUAGCUAGUUGGUGAGGUAACGGCUCACCAAGGCAACGAUCCGUAGCUGGUCUGAGAGGAUGAUCAGCCACACUGGGACUGAGACACGGCCCAGACUCCUACGGGAGGCAGCAGUAAGGAAUAUUGCGCAAGU
Molecule: ribosomal RNA, 319 nt
Filed under: uncultured bacterium
Lineage: Bacteria
Description: bacterial SSU rRNA
Rfam family: Bacterial small subunit ribosomal RNA
Source: RNAcentral